This 403-nucleotide ribosomal RNA is filed under the name Verrucomicrobiota bacterium. Its description in RNAcentral is "Verrucomicrobia bacterium partial 16S ribosomal RNA". It matches the Rfam family "Bacterial small subunit ribosomal RNA", at positions 355 to 776 of the family's 1533-position model. Lineage: Bacteria; Pseudomonadati; Verrucomicrobiota. The record is from RNAcentral.
UGGGGAAUAUUGCACAAUGGGGGAAACCCUGAUGCAGCGACGCCGCGUGAGCGAAGAAGGCCUUCGGGUCGUAAAGCUCUUUUAUGAGGGAAGAUAAUGACGGUACCUCAAGAAAAAGCCCCGGCUAACUACGUGCCAGCAGCCGCGGUAAUACGUAGGGGGCUAGCGUUGUCCGGAAUCACUGGGCGUAAAGGGUUCGCAGGCGGUUUUUUAAGUCAGGUGUCAAAGCGUGGAGCUUAACUCCAUUAAGCACUUGAAACUGAAAGACUUGAGUGAAGGAGAGGAAAGUGGAAUUCCUAGUGUAGCGGUGAAAUGCGUAGAUAUUAGGAGGAAUACCGGUGGCGAAGGCGACUUUCUGGACUUUUACUGACGCUCAGGUACGAAAGCGUGGGGAGCAAACAGG